Molecule: transfer RNA, 68 nt
Filed under: Marmota monax (woodchuck)
Lineage: Eukaryota; Metazoa; Chordata; Mammalia; Rodentia; Sciuridae
Description: tRNA.Ala
Source: RNAcentral
GGAUUGUGGCUCAGCGGUAGAGCGCUUGCCUAGCAUGUGCGAAGCCCUGGGUUUGAUCCUCAGCACCA